Molecule: ribosomal RNA, 922 nt
Filed under: uncultured Bacillota bacterium
Lineage: Bacteria; Bacillati; Bacillota
Description: bacterial SSU rRNA
Rfam family: Bacterial small subunit ribosomal RNA
Source: RNAcentral
GAUCCAGACUUUGAUUCUGGCUCAGGAUGAACGCUAGCUACAGGCUUAACACAUGCAAGUCGAGGGGCAUCAGUUUGGUUUGCUUGCAAACCAAAGCUGGCGACCGGCGCACGGGUGAGUAACACGUAUCCAACCUGCCUCAUACUCGGGGAUAGCCUUUCGAAAGAAAGAUUAAUAUCCGAUAGCAUAUAUUUCCCGCAUGGGUUUUAUAUUAAAGAAAUUCGGUAUGAGAUGGGGAUGCGUUCCAUUAGUUUGUUGGGGGGGUAACGGCCCACCAAGACUACGAUGGAUAGGGGUUCUGAGAGGAAGGUCCCCCACAUUGGAACUGAGACACGGUCCAAACUCCUACGGGAGGCAGCAGUGAGGAAUAUUGGUCAAUGGACGCGAGUCUGAACCAGCCAAGUAGCGUGAAGGAUGACUGCCCUAUGGGUUGUAAACUUCUUUUAUAUGGGAAUAAAGUUGUCCACGUGUGGAUUUUUGUAUGUACCAUAUGAAUAAGGAUCGGCUAACUCCGUGCCAGCAGCCGCGGUAAUACGGAGGAUCCGAGCGUUAUCCGGAUUUAUUGGGUUUAAAGGGAGCGUAGGCGGAUUGUUAAGUCAGUUGUGAAAGUUUGCGGCUCAACCGUAAAAUUGCAGUUGAUACUGGCAGUCUUGAGUGCAGUAGAGGUGGGCGGAAUUCGUGGUGUAGCGGUGAAAUGCUUAGAUAUCACGAAGAACUCCGAUUGCGAAGGCAGCUCACUGGAGUGUAACUGACGCUGAUGCUCGAAAGUGUGGGUAUCAAACAGGAUUAGAUACCCUGGUAGUCCACACAGUAAACGAUGAAUACUCGCUGUUUGCGAUAUACAGUAAGCGGCCAAGCGAAAGCAUUAAGUAUUCCACCUGGGGAGUACGCCGGCAACGGUGCAACUCAAAGGAAUUGACGG